This 253-nucleotide ribosomal RNA is filed under the name uncultured bacterium. RNAcentral describes it as "partial 16S ribosomal RNA". It matches the Rfam family "Bacterial small subunit ribosomal RNA", at positions 524 to 776 of the family's 1533-position model. The record is from RNAcentral.
UACGAAGGGUGCAAACGUUGCCCGGAAUUAUUGGGCGUAAAGCGCACGUAGGCGGCUUAGCAAGUCGGAAGUGAAAUCCCACGGCUCAACCAUGGAAGUGCUUUCGAAACUGCUGAGCUUGAGUACGAAAGAGGAUCGCGGAAUUCCCGGUGUAGAGGUGAAAUUCGUAGAUAUCGGGAGGAACACCAGUGGCGAAGGCGGCGAUCUGGGUCGAUACUGACGCUGAGGUGCGAAAGCGUGGGGAGCAAACAGG